GAUGAACGCUGGCGGCGUGCCUAAUACAUGCCAGUCGAGCGAACAGACGAGGAGCUUGCUCCUCUGACGUUAGCGGCGGACGGGUGAGUAACACGUGGAUAACCUACCUAUAAUACUGGGAUAACUUCGGGAAACCGGAGCUAAUACCGGAUAAUAUAUUGAACCGCAUGGUUCAAUAGUGAAAGACGGUUUUGCUGUCACUUAUAGAUGGAUCCGCGCCGCAUUAGCUAGUUGGUAAGGUAACGGCGUACCAAGGCAACGAUGCGUAGCCGACCUGAGAGGGUGAUCGGCCACACUGGAAGUGAGACACGGUCCAGAGUCCUACGGGAGGCAGCAGUAGGGAAUCUUCCGCAAUGGGCGAAAGCAUGACGGAGCAACGCCGCGUGAAUGAUGAAGGUCUUCGGAUCGUAAAACUCUGUUAUUAGGGAAGAACAAAUGUGUAAGUAACUAUGCACGUCUUGACGGUACCUAAUCAGAAAGCAACGGCUAACUACGUG
RNAcentral lists this ribosomal RNA (497 nucleotides) under uncultured bacterium. Its description in RNAcentral is "partial 16S ribosomal RNA". It matches the Rfam family "Bacterial small subunit ribosomal RNA", at positions 28 to 507 of the family's 1533-position model. The record is from RNAcentral.